This 273-nucleotide ribosomal RNA is filed under the name uncultured bacterium. RNAcentral describes it as "partial 16S ribosomal RNA". It matches the Rfam family "Bacterial small subunit ribosomal RNA", at positions 524 to 796 of the family's 1533-position model. The record is from RNAcentral.
GACGGAGGGUGCAAGCGUUGUUCGGAAUUACUGGGCGUAAAGGGCGCGUAGGCGGUCCGUUAAGUUCGGUGUGAAAUCCCUCGGCUCACCCGAGGAAGUGCGCCGGAUACUGGCGGACUAGAGUACCGGAGAGGAGGGUGGAAUUCCUGGUGUAGCGGUGAAAUGCGUAGAUAUCAGGAGGAACACCGGUGGCGAAGGCGGCCCUCUGGACGAGUACUGACGCUGAGGCGCGACAGCGUGGGGAUCAAACAGGAUUAGAAACCCUCGUAGUCC